RNAcentral lists this ribosomal RNA (200 nucleotides) under uncultured bacterium. RNAcentral's name for it is "partial 16S ribosomal RNA". It matches the Rfam family "Bacterial small subunit ribosomal RNA", at positions 28 to 226 of the family's 1533-position model. The record is from RNAcentral.
GAUGAACGCUAGCGGCAGGCCUAAUACACGCAAGUCGAACGGUAAAUAUUGUAGCAAUACGAUAUGAGAGUGACGUACGGGUGCGUAACACGUAUGCAACCUACCCAAAACUGGAGUAUAGCUCGGGGAAACUCGAAUUAACCCUCCAUAAGAUCGUGGUGUGGCAUCACACAGCGAUAAAAACUCAGGUGGUUUUGGAU